This 282-nucleotide unclassified non-coding RNA is filed under the name Piscirickettsia salmonis. RNAcentral's name for it is "partial contains 16S-23S ribosomal RNA spacer and 23S ribosomal RNA". Lineage: Bacteria; Pseudomonadati; Pseudomonadota; Gammaproteobacteria; Thiotrichales; Piscirickettsiaceae. The record is from RNAcentral.
UUUAUUGUUUAGUGAGAAUGAUAUUUGUUCUUUAACAAUGUGGUAAAAAGUAUAAGUAAAGAUUCCUUGAUUAAUUUAGGGUUAUUUUUAGUUUAGGUUGAGGUGUAUUUUUAUAUGUCUGGAUUGAUGAUUAGAAAUAAUUUUAGUUUAUUUAAUUAACGAGUCUUGGUAAUUUUUGAAAACCGGUGUUGAGAUAUAAUUUUGAUUGGUUUUAGUUAAUAGAUUAUAGAUUUAUUGAUAUAAAGACUUUUUGGGGUUAUAUGAUCAAGUGAAUAAGUGCAU